This 545-nucleotide ribosomal RNA is filed under the name Thomasomys niveipes. RNAcentral describes it as "partial 16S ribosomal RNA". It matches the Rfam family "Bacterial large subunit ribosomal RNA", at positions 1816 to 2597 of the family's 2925-position model. Lineage: Eukaryota; Metazoa; Chordata; Mammalia; Rodentia; Cricetidae. The record is from RNAcentral.
CACCUCUAGCAUACCAAGUAUUAGAGGCACUGCCUGCCCAGUGACUAAAGUUAAACGGCCGCGGUAUCCUGACCGUGCAAAGGUAGCAUAAUCACUUGUUCCUUAAUUAGGGACUAGAAUGAAUGGCCAAACGAGAACUCAACUGUCUCUUAUUUUUAAUCAGUGAAAUUGACCUUUCCGUGAAGAGGCGGAAAUUACAUUAUAAGACGAGAAGACCCUAUGGAGCUUUAGCUUAUUAGCCUAUCUACUCAUAUUAAAACCCUACUGGACCAACAAAAAAAAUUAUUAGGCUAAAAGUUUCGGUUGGGGUGACCUCGGAGAAUAAAAUAACCUCCGAACGAUUAUAACCAAGACCUACAAGUCAAAGUAAUAUACAUCUCAUUGACCCAACUUUUGAUCAACGGACCAAGUUACCCUAGGGAUAACAGCGCAAUCCUAUUUAAGAGUCCAUAUCGACAAUAGGGUUUACGACCUCGAUGUUGGAUCAGGACAUCCCAAUGGUGCAGAAGCUAUUAAUGGUUCGUUUGUUCAACGAUUAAAGUCCU